RNAcentral lists this long non-coding RNA (2249 nucleotides) under Sorghum bicolor (sorghum). RNAcentral's name for it is "long non-coding RNA (SBIC_LNC008779)". Lineage: Eukaryota; Viridiplantae; Streptophyta; Magnoliopsida; Poales; Poaceae. The record is from RNAcentral.
CACUACGGAGGAGGAAAGACCCUACUUCGAAGGGAUUAGAGCAGCCAAAGUCCAUUUCAUCCCUCCAAAGGCAGCCCCGAAGCAUGCUCUCAAUGCUUUUGAAACACCUCCCAAGCGUCGCAAGACUAUAGUAGAUAUUGUUGAGGACGUUCGCAGGCUAGACAGAGUCAUCAUAGACCUCCAGUCCUCAGUUAAUUCCCUCACUAGGCAGCUCUCUAACCAAAACACUGUUAUACUAGGCCUUAGGCAGGAUCUUGCCAGUGCCAAUAAGAAGAUUAAGGAGUUAGAGCACCGCUGAGUUAUCUAGAUUAGACCUUGAAGCAAUGCAUCUUAGUUAUCUAUCUUUAAAUUCGGUUUAGGUUUACUAUUAUUGUCAGUUUGUUACUAUUAUCGUCAGUUUGCUACUAGUUAUUUGUAAUAAAUGCCUCAAGAUUAAUAAAGAGUAUUAUUAUUAUAAUUAUGUCUUGUGUGUCUCUACUUUAUUUUUGUGCCAGAAAGCAAAAAACAAGUAUGGGGGAGAUCCCUCGACAUGCCAAACACACUUCGACUACACCACUCCACGAUUCAGGUACACACUCUGCACACUUUACACAUACAUAUAUCUUAGAUUAUGCAGAAUACUGUUUCCGACAUGAUAAAUUAAAAAAGAUUAAAAUGUUUCUAAUCAUGAUUAAUCUCACUCUCUGAUAUUUCCUGAAACUUGCAAUUAUUGAAAAAUCAUUUUAAAACCCUGUGUUACUUAAGUCAUUGUGGACUUUGAGAUGGUAGAGUAUGAGUUUCUUAUUCUUGACAUCAUUGUUGCUUGGAGAAUUUAUUUCAAAAUUUGUUCAAAAAUUCUAGCUUCCAUCCUCAGUGUUUUAUAUGCCUACUAAAACAGAAAAUAUUAAUUAUGACUAUAAAAGCUAUCUACUCUGUAUUGAGUUUGUUCAAAAUGAGUUAGACCCUUGUAGAGAGAUUUAUCAUGCUCCUAAGAUCAAGACAUUAUUCAGAAAGAUUCACUCUUCUGAAGUAUUAUUGCAUUAGAGGCAUGGGCUAUGCAAAAAUAAGAUAUUUCGAGGAAAUAAAAAGGAGCAAGUGCUCGAUAACCUCGUAGAAAAAAUGGACAAGUGUCCGGCAGUAGAAUUAGGGGUACCUCGGUAUCCACUUAAAAAAAGAAGAGAAAAAAAAGAAAAUGAUAGCCCAUGGUCCCUCUAAUAAGCAAUAUGCCAGCAAGAGUUGACAAAGAUUUUAAUCUCGGAGUAUGACAUUCCCCUCCUCGGAUCCCAUUUUGAUCAGUCAAUAAAUACAAAGUAAGUAUGCUUGAGAAUUUUUGCAAAUUAAAACAGCCUCAGUGAGAUAUAUAAAAGAUAAUGAGUGAUCAGAGAGAACCUAUGAUGAUAAAAGGUAUGCUAACAUUCUUUUCAAAAACAUAUAAAAACUCCAAGUGACAGGAUUGAGAAGAAAGGAUCUUUACUCUUAACCAUAUACUUCCCUGACUAUAGUACACAGUGGAUUUUAACACCCUGCAGUUAUGAAGAGAAUGUUUUAAAAUGUUUUACCCCAGAUAUUGUUCUUAACCAUCCUUUUCUCGAGGACGAGUAAAAGCCAAAGUAUGGGGGUAUUUGUUGACGGUUCUUAAGUAUCAAUUUUAAUUAUCAAAUAAACAAGAGAAAGGACCAAUAUGCAAACAACACCUAGAAUUAGGGUUUAAUCUGACAGAAUUCCACGAGUUUUGUUGUUUAUCUGUUUCUGCAGGGGGUUAUCAGGAAAUAAGGAAGAAAGGCCCACAUGUCGGGAUUACAUAGAGAUAUCAACGCACCGCGCAAUUUUCUACCAUCUAGAAGACUCCAGAAGCCACGGGAAGAAAGCGGAGGCCGAACGGGGCCAGGACCCGGGCGCCCGCCCAGUUGACCUGGGAGCCCGCCCUCUAUUGGAUGCCAAUCAGGACUCUUUUCGCACACGACACUCCACCGACCUAAAGGAUCAAGGAUAACCGUCCAACCAAUGUCGGUUUGAUCCAACGGCUCACAUUUACCUGAGGGGACUAUAAAACCAGACCCCCUGGCCCAUGGAGGAGACAAGUUCAUCAUAGAGUUGAGAGGAGCCCUCGAAGGAAUACCUCUCCUCUAAAUAAAAUUUCUUUUUAGGCUUAGCAACCAAUGUGAGUAGAAAUAGAUUUUCUAGUUUGUACUAGAUUGAGAGAGAUAGAGUGGAGGUGUAGAUCGGAGGAAGCCCGACCUGUCGGUGUCUACUCCGAGCUUGUACCUGCG